CAGUGCAAGGACGGAGCGUCGUGUUGCAAGCGUCGUGCUGCAUGGCGGUGGCGGAACGCGCUCUCGGUUUCCGCCACCUGAGCGCGAACCCCGACAAGCUGCUGGUGACGGCGACCGAUGCGGCGAGCCUCGAGUACCACCUUCCCGACAGGUCUCCGCUGACCAUCGACAGCGCGGGUCCUCAGGGUGCACGUCGCCGGUUGCUUGUCCUUCGCGCUCGGACCAGAAGCCAAGGAAGAAGGAGUCAACUCGCCAUCUUCGCCAUCACGUGCUAAGAGUGCGCUCGGCAACGCCCCUUCUCAAGGCAGCAGAAGCAGCGAAGCACUGCGUUUCAAAGGCAACGUGACAUGGCUGGGAGCCGUGGUGGGCAGCGUGAUGCGCAAGCUGCGUUCCGAGUUGCCGGAGUCCCGUGCCCGUGCAGAACGCGGUCUCGUCGAGGAGCUGUCGAUGCUGCAGAGGCGCCUGCAGCAGUGCGACUCUGUGGGAGAGUUCUUCGACACGCUGAGCAUCUGAAGAUGGCGCCCCAUGAUCCUGUUUUCUUGCGUCAUCUUAGUGACGUCCUCGGACGUCGUCUUUAUGUUUGUUUCCUUACGUUAAAUAUUGAAUGCAGCCUGUCGUUGAUUUCAAGUGCAGCUUGCUUUCGAGCACGCAAUAAACGAGAGAGCUCUUGGUCAACUUCUUCACAAA
Long non-coding RNA from Rhipicephalus microplus (southern cattle tick), 687 nucleotides. The record is from RefSeq and is a predicted model, not a curated record. Lineage: Eukaryota; Metazoa; Arthropoda; Arachnida; Ixodida; Ixodidae.